This 105-nucleotide small nuclear RNA is filed under the name Cebus imitator (Panamanian white-faced capuchin). Lineage: Eukaryota; Metazoa; Chordata; Mammalia; Primates; Cebidae. The record is from RNAcentral.
UGCUUCGGCAGCACAUAUAUUAUAUUAAAAGCAGAGCGAUAACAGAGGUUAGCAUGGCCCCUGUGCAAGGAUGACAUGCAAAUUCGUGAAGCAUUCCAUAUUUUU